GACGAACUCUUGCUGUCUGGAGCAGAAUCAAGAUGGCGGCUGCUGAAAGAGGCUCUUCCUGGAGUGGAAAAACUGAAAGUAGAGUCCAAUUGUGAAGAACUGCUGGAGAAUUGUAGUCAUCUAAUAUCAACAGCUGAAGAUGUGCCUGAUGAAAAUCUGUACAAGCUUAGACUGACAGACAUGGCUUUAGACGCUUCCAUUCAGCUGGGGCUCUGGGAGAAGGCUUUGAGAUACGGCGAGUUAACACUUCCAGUAUACAGACGAUACUACCCUGAUCCUCACCCGGUGCAUGGAGUGCAGCUGAUGAGGGUCGGAAAGCUGCAACAUUACUUGGAACAUCUUCAGGAUGCACUGGACACAUUCA
Molecule: non-coding RNA, 364 nt
Organism: Labrus bergylta (ballan wrasse)
Lineage: Eukaryota; Metazoa; Chordata; Actinopteri; Labriformes; Labridae
Source: RefSeq, a predicted model, not a curated record